AAUUUUUUCUUGUUAUCUUUCUACUCAUGUACAUGAUAUUAUUUAUUUAUAAAUUAUAUGAGAUAUUGUGUUUCAUCAUAUGCUGUAUAUAUCUUAUUAUCUCAUUCAUUACCUCAUAGAUUAUGACUUAGUUAAGAGAGUUAGGAGUAUGUGUCACAUACUCCUAGCUCUCUUCUAAUCAUGCUAAAUUUUUUCUUACUUAAGAGUUUGGUAA
RNAcentral lists this long non-coding RNA (214 nucleotides) under Elaeis guineensis (African oil palm). Its description in RNAcentral is "long non-coding RNA (EGUI_LNC050663)". The record is from RNAcentral. Lineage: Eukaryota; Viridiplantae; Streptophyta; Magnoliopsida; Arecales; Arecaceae.